RNAcentral lists this transfer RNA (73 nucleotides) under Ictidomys tridecemlineatus (thirteen-lined ground squirrel). RNAcentral describes it as "Spermophilus tridecemlineatus (thirteen-lined ground squirrel) tRNA". It matches the Rfam family "tRNA". From Rfam's summary of the family: Transfer RNA (tRNA) molecules are approximately 80 nucleotides in length. Their secondary structure includes four short double-helical elements and three loops (D, anti-codon, and T loops). Lineage: Eukaryota; Metazoa; Chordata; Mammalia; Rodentia; Sciuridae. The record is from Rfam by way of RNAcentral.
GGGGAUAUAGCUCAGUUGGUAAAGUGCUUGCUUCUCAUGGAGAAGGACCUGGGUUCAAUCCCCGGCAUUACCA